Non-coding RNA from Kwoniella sp. CBS 9459, 95 nucleotides. Lineage: Eukaryota; Fungi; Basidiomycota; Tremellomycetes; Tremellales; Cryptococcaceae. The record is from the annotation of a GenBank genome assembly.
GGUCCAAUAGCUCAGCGGUACGAGCGAUUGUUUCACCUUCGGCGCACGCCGCUUCUGAUCACAACAGGUCGGCGGUUCGAUCCCGUCUUGGAUCA